RNAcentral lists this transfer RNA (48 nucleotides) under Homopholis fasciata. Its description in RNAcentral is "partial tRNA-Leu". Lineage: Eukaryota; Metazoa; Chordata; Lepidosauria; Squamata; Gekkonidae. The record is from RNAcentral.
CUUUUAAAGGACGGUAGAACUCCACUAGCCUUAGGAGCUAACACCCCU